Molecule: long non-coding RNA, 404 nt
Organism: Rosa chinensis
Lineage: Eukaryota; Viridiplantae; Streptophyta; Magnoliopsida; Rosales; Rosaceae
Exons: 3
Source: RefSeq, a predicted model, not a curated record
CUUUGAUUUACUUUUAUUAAUUUCCAGCUCUCAUUGUUAUCUGUUUACAAAGAAUUUGAUGCUUAGUCUUUGCUGGUUCUUAAACGGAGCCCUUGCAUUCUUAUAAAAGUUCCAUGAUUUAUAUUGGUCUUGCAUCACCAUUGUGACAAGGCCCGCCGGCUAUGUGAGGCAUUCGGUGCAUAGGAUUUUUCCCCUUUGUCACUUUAUGAACGGAAAAAAAGAACUUUUCAUGUCUUGAAUGUUUGGAAUCUGCCUUGUGUAGCUGAUGUCAACUUUUUUAUUUCUGUUAUUUAGUUGCUGCUGUUAAACUUCUGUUGAGUUGCUUGUUGGUUCUUUUGAAGAGUAUUGUCAGUCAUGGGGUUGAAAAGCUAGCUAUCCAGUGAUGAUGAACUUCUGGUUGUUCG